RNAcentral lists this ribosomal RNA (481 nucleotides) under uncultured bacterium. Its description in RNAcentral is "partial 16S ribosomal RNA". It matches the Rfam family "Bacterial small subunit ribosomal RNA", at positions 28 to 507 of the family's 1533-position model. The record is from RNAcentral.
GAUGAACGCUGGCGGCGUGCUUAACACAUGCAAGUCGAACGAAGCACUUUAUUUGAUUUCCUUCGGGACUGAUUAUUUUGUGACUGAGUGGCGGACGGGUGAGUAACGCGUGGGUAACCUGCCUUGUACAGGGGGAUAACAGUUGGAAACGGCUGCUAAUACCGCAUAAGCGCACAGCAUCGCAUGAUGCAGUGUGAAAAACUCCGGUGGUAUAAGAUGGACCCGCGUUGGAUUAGCUAGUUGGUGAGGUAACGGCCCACCAAGGCGACGAUCCAUAGCCGACCUGGGAGGGUGACAGGCCGCAUCGGGACUGAGACACGGACCAAACUCCUACGGGAGGCAGCAGUGGGGAAUAUUGCACAAUGGGGGAAAGCCUGAUGCAGCGACGCCGCGUGAGCGAAGAAGUAUUUCGGUAUGUAAAGCUCUAUCAGCAGAGAAGAUAAUGACGGUACCUGACGAAGAAGCACCGGCUAACUACGUG